RNAcentral lists this non-coding RNA (88 nucleotides) under Pseudomonas japonica. Lineage: Bacteria; Pseudomonadati; Pseudomonadota; Gammaproteobacteria; Pseudomonadales; Pseudomonadaceae. The record is from RNAcentral.
UGCUAUGGCAGCUGUGCGUGAGGGCGCAUUCGUGCGCGCCGGGGUACCUAUGACUCGGUCUGUCAACCCACGUACAGUUGCCACCCUU